UACGUAGGGUGCAAGCGUUAAUCGGAAUUACUGGGCGUAAAGAGCGCGCAGGCGGUCGUUCAAGUCGCGUGUGAAAGCCCCCCGGCUCAACUGGGGAGGGUCACGCGAUACUGAUCGACUCGAAGGCAGGAGAGGGAAGUGGAAUUCCCGGUGUAGUGGUGAAAUGCGUAGAUAUCGGGAGGAACACCAGUGGCGAAGGCGACUUCCUGGCCUGUUCUUGACGCUGAGGCGCGAAAAGCUAGGGGAGCAAACGGGG
RNAcentral lists this ribosomal RNA (256 nucleotides) under uncultured bacterium. RNAcentral's name for it is "partial 16S ribosomal RNA". It matches the Rfam family "Bacterial small subunit ribosomal RNA", at positions 524 to 777 of the family's 1533-position model. The record is from RNAcentral.